RNAcentral lists this ribosomal RNA (530 nucleotides) under uncultured fungus. RNAcentral's name for it is "eukaryotic LSU rRNA". The stretch from base 193 to 346 matches the Rfam family "5.8S ribosomal RNA". Lineage: Eukaryota; Fungi. The record is from RNAcentral.
AAGUCGUAACAAGGUCUCCGUAGGUGAACCUGCGGAGGGAUCAUUACCGAGAGAGGGCGCCUCGCGCGCCCGACCUCCCAACCCUUUGCCGACCGUACCGCGUUGCCUCGGGGUGGCUCUCGCGAGCGCCCCAGAGGACGUCAACCAAACUCUUGCGUCUUUGCGUCGGAGUAUCAAUUUUGAAUCAAUCAAAACUUUCAACAACGGAUCUCUUGGUUCUGGCAUCGAUGAAGAACGCAGCGAAAUGCGAUAAGUAAUGUGAAUUGCAGAAUUCAGUGAAUCAUCGAAUCUUUGAACGCACAUUGCGCCCUUUGGCAUUCCGAGGGGCAUGCCCGUUCGAGCGUCAUUACGCCACUCAAGCCUGGCUUGGUAUUGGGCGACAGGUCUCACCCGCGCCUCCAUUUUCUACCGGCUGGACGGUUGGAAUCUCAGCGUUGUGAAUCAAUUCGCUGCGAGACCCGACCGGACGCGCCGUUAAACUCUCAUCAAAGGUUGACCUCGGAUCGGGUAGGGAUACCCGCUGAACUUAA